Molecule: long non-coding RNA, 1099 nt
Organism: Ziziphus jujuba (common jujube)
Lineage: Eukaryota; Viridiplantae; Streptophyta; Magnoliopsida; Rosales; Rhamnaceae
Exons: 5
Source: RefSeq, a predicted model, not a curated record
UAAAGUAUCCUUUUCAAAUGUCAAAAUAAAAAUAGAAGAAAAAUGGUCCAUUUUUCCCUUGAACCAGAACGAACUAUGAAGAAGAGAGGAGGACAAAAUAGCUCUAAGAUCUCUUCUCUCUCUCUCUCUCUCUCUCUCUAUCUCUCUCUCUCUCAAUCAUUGUGAAAUCCUUUGGUGAGUAUAGAGAAAGAGGAAUUAAGGCAAAUAACCUUGAAGAAUUGCACAAGAUAAUUCAUGCUGUCGUCUGUGCUGAUCUCAUAGUGAAGAAAUCUGAUAAGGAACCACCUCAGGACACUAUAAACGUUUAUGGUUCAACUUAAAGAAGCUCACAUAUGAAGAAAGGAAGAACCAGUUAAUUGAAGGAUUGACUAAAUUUGGGCAGUGGCAUAAAUUUUCAAAGAUAAACUUUUCUUUGGGAAAAUGGAUACAACCUUUUUUCUAUGGGGACAUGUUUACAGCCUUUCUUUAUCAUAGUGUUGGGAAUGAGGAGUGUACUUGAUUAGGCUGAUAAUGCACAUGCUAUAUAGAGAAACCUGGCUUUCCUUGUGUCCAUGCAAUUGCAGCAUGUAAGCAUCGACAUAUUUCUCCAUAUAUCCUUUGCUUGGCGCAUUACUUAGUUGACUCACUCCACGACGCAUAUUCGGAAACCAUAUAUCCACUAGGAGAUAAAUGUCAGUGGCAUGCUCUAGAUGAUGUCAUAAACCAGCUUGUACUUCCACCUAAGAUUGGCAAACAGUUAGGAAGACCAAGAAAGAAGAGGAUUCAAUCUCAAGGAGAGGAGCGUCAUCAAUAUAGAUGCGGGAGGUGCAAACAGAUUGGUCACAGCAACCGAUCAUGCUCAGCCGCCAUACCUUUUGAUAGCACUGCCAACCAACAAUACCAUUCAACUGAAGGACCAUAAAUCGCUCUACGUUAUAUUAAGACAAUGGGGGCAUGUUAUGUGGUAUGCGUGUGUUAUGCAAUGUCGUAAGGAAUGCAAUUAGUUGCGUUUUGGCAUAAUAGACAUUGGUUUUAUGUGUUGUUUUGUUGGAAAAGUCAUCUGUCGUAUUGUGUUGAUAAAAUAUCAAUGAUUCUAAAUAGAAAAAACCCCAAAAGUUCA